This 1041-nucleotide ribosomal RNA is filed under the name Staphylococcus aureus. Its description in RNAcentral is "partial 23S ribosomal RNA". It matches the Rfam family "Bacterial large subunit ribosomal RNA", at positions 516 to 1561 of the family's 2925-position model. RNAcentral also lists the same sequence under 1 other name. The record is from RNAcentral. Lineage: Bacteria; Bacillati; Bacillota; Bacilli; Caryophanales; Staphylococcaceae.
GAAAAGCACCCCGGAAGGGGAGUGAAAUAGAACCUGAAACCGUGUGCUUACAAGUAGUCAGAGCCCGUUAAUGGGUGAUGGCGUGCCUUUUGUAGAAUGAACCGGCGAGUUACGAUUUGAUGCAAGGUUAAGCAGUAAAUGUGGAGCCGUAGCGAAAGCGAGUCUGAAUAGGGCGUUUAGUAUUUGGUCGUAGACCCGAAACCAGGUGAUCUACCCUUGGUCAGGUUGAAGUUCAGGUAACACUGAAUGGAGGACCGAACCGACUUACGUUGAAAAGUGAGCGGAUGAACUGAGGGUAGCGGAGAAAUUCCAAUCGAACCUGGAGAUAGCUGGUUCUCUCCGAAAUAGCUUUAGGGCUAGCCUCAAGUGAUGAUUAUUGGAGGUAGAGCACUGUUUGGACGAGGGGCCCCUCUCGGGUUACCGAAUUCAGACAAACUCCGAAUGCCAAUUAAUUUAACUUGGGAGUCAGAACAUGGGUGAUAAGGUCCGUGUUCGAAAGGGAAACAGCCCAGACCACCAGCUAAGGUCCCAAAAUAUAUGUUAAGUGGAAAAGGAUGUGGCGUUGCCCAGACAACUAGGAUGUUGGCUUAGAAGCAGCCAUCAUUUAAAGAGUGCGUAAUAGCUCACUAGUCGAGUGACACUGCGCCGAAAAUGUACCGGGGCUAAACAUAUUACCGAAGCUGUGGAUUGUCCUUUGGACAAUGGUAGGAGAGCGUUCUAAGGGCGUUGAAGCAUGAUCGUAAGGACAUGUGGAGCGCUUAGAAGUGAGAAUGCCGGUGUGAGUAGCGAAAGACGGGUGAGAAUCCCGUCCACCGAUUGACUAAGGUUUCCAGAGGAAGGCUCGUCCGCUCUGGGUUAGUCGGGUCCUAAGCUGAGGCCGACAGGCGUAGGCGAUGGAUAACAGGUUGAUAUUCCUGUACCACCUAUAAUCGUUUUAAUCGAUGGGGGGACGCAGUAGGAUAGGCGAAGCGUGCGAUUGGAUUGCACGUCUAAGCAGUAAGGCUGAGUAUUAGGCAAAUCCGGUACUCGUUAAGGCUGAGC